CCGGCUGAUUCGGGGUCCGAUUCAGCCAUGCUAGUUGUACGGGUUUAGACCCGUAGCAUAGCUCCGUAACACGUGGUCAAACUACCCUCUGGACCGGGAUACCCUCGGGAAACUGAGGUCAAUCCCAGAUACUGCUUUCAUGUUGGAAUACAGAAAGUCGGAAACGGUCCGCCGCCGGAGGACGUGACUGCGGCCGAUUAGGUAGACGGUGGGGUAACGGCCCACCGUGCCGAUAAUCGGUACGGGUUGUGAGAGCAAGAACCCGGAGACGGUAUCUGAGACAAGAUACCGGGCCCUACGGGGCGCAGCAGGCGCGAAACCUUUACACUGCACGCCAGUGGGGAUAAGGGUUACCCCG
RNAcentral lists this ribosomal RNA (358 nucleotides) under Halococcus sp. Its description in RNAcentral is "bacterial SSU rRNA". It matches the Rfam family "Archaeal small subunit ribosomal RNA", at positions 33 to 383 of the family's 1478-position model. Lineage: Archaea; Methanobacteriati; Methanobacteriota; Halobacteria; Halobacteriales; Halococcaceae. The record is from RNAcentral.